RNAcentral lists this ribosomal RNA (913 nucleotides) under uncultured bacterium. RNAcentral's name for it is "SSU rRNA". It matches the Rfam family "Bacterial small subunit ribosomal RNA", at positions 8 to 916 of the family's 1533-position model. The record is from RNAcentral.
AGAGUUUGAUCAUGGCUCAGAUUGAACGCUGGCGGCAGGCCUAACACAUGCAAGUCGAGCGGUAGAGAGAAGCUUGCUUCUCUUGAGAGCGGCGGACGGGUGAGUAAUGCCUAGGAAUCUGCCUGGUAGUGGGGGAUAACGCUCGGAAACGGACGCUAAUACCGCAUACGUCCUACGGGAGAAAGCAGGGGACCUUCGGGCCUUGCGCUAUCAGAUGAGCCUAGGUCGGAUUAGCUAGUUGGUGAGGUAAUGGCUCACCAAGGCGACGAUCCGUAACUGGUCUGAGAUGAUGAUCAGUCACACUGGAACUGAGACACGGUCCAGACUCCUACGGGAGGCAGCAGUGGGGAAUAUUGGACAAUGGGCGAAAGCCUGAUCCAGCCAUGCCGCGUGUGUGAAGAAGGUCUUCGGAUUGUAAAGCACUUUAAGUUGGGAGGAAGGGCAGUUACCUAAUACGUAUCUGUUUUGACGUUACCGACAGAAUAAGCACCGGCUAACUCUGUGCCAGCAGCCGCGGUAAUACAGAGGGUGCAAGCGUUAAUCGGAAUUACUGGGCGUAAAGCGCGCGUAGGUGGUUUGUUAAGUUGGAUGUGAAAUCCCCGGGCUCAACCUGGGAACUGCAUUCAAAACUGACAAGCUAGAGUAUGGUAGAGGGUGGUGGAAUUUCCUGUGUAGCGGUGAAAUGCGUAGAUAUAGGAAGGAACACCAGUGGCGAAGGCGACCACCUGGACUGAUACUGACACUGAGGUGCGAAAGCGUGGGGAGCAAACAGGAUUAGAUACCCUGGUAGUCCACGCCGUAAACGAUGUCAACUAGCCGUUGGGAGCCUUGAGCUCUUAGUGGCGCAGCUAACGCAUUAAGUUGACCGCCUGGGGAGUACGGCCGCAAGGUUAAAACUCAAAUGAAUUGACGG